Long non-coding RNA from Spinacia oleracea (spinach), 716 nucleotides. RefSeq lists it as uncharacterized. Lineage: Eukaryota; Viridiplantae; Streptophyta; Magnoliopsida; Caryophyllales; Amaranthaceae. The transcript is spliced from 3 exons. The record is from RefSeq and is a predicted model, not a curated record.
CAUUGUUGCUUCCGCCACGCCGCCGGACCAGUCGUCGGAGACCACCGUUGUCCCUCACCGCAGCUUCAAACGCCGGUAACUCCUCCAUCUCUUGCUUCAUUGUUCUUGCUUCUCCUUCGUUCUUAUUCUUAUCCUCUUGGUUGUUUUUGUUGCUCUCUGCCGCCACCACCACUGCGCAACUGGUUGCGCCGCACCAUCACAGCCACCGUGCACUGUUGCUGCACCGCCCAACUCGCCAACCAACGUUUUCCAUCAUCCUCUUUCUUGUUUCUUCAUUUUCACGACAGCAGCCAAGCACGACUAAGUGCGACCACCGUAGUCACCACCACCAGGCUCCAGCCGCGUCGCCCGUUCCCCGCGACCACCGCCCUGUGCCGCGCCGCCUGUGCUCCGCCGGCCAGCCUCCUCUCUCCUCUUUAAUUCUUGGUGGAGAAUUCUCCGUAGGCGACUUUUGAAUUAUUAAAGUGGUCUUGCAGUUUGUUUACACAAGUCUCUAAGGAUCAAUAAGCAUUGUCCAUCUACAGGUUUGAAGAUGUUGCAUCAUUGGGAUCGGGAAUAGAGAGCUUGUAUUUAGUUUUGAUUUGCUAAGUUGACUUGGGUUUGCUUAAUUGGACUUUAAACUUGUCAUACUAUUUAUAUUUCCUUAUUUUCGUUGGUUGAUUUUUGGGACUAAACCUGUAAUCGAUUAUUUAUAAACCUAAAGUUAGUUUUAUGUU